GACGAACGCUGGCGGCGUGCUUAACACAUGCAAGUCGAACGGAAAGGCCCUGCUUGCAGGGUGCUCGAGUGGCGAACGGGUGAGUAACACGUGGGUGAUCUGCCCCUUAUUUUGGGAUAAGCCUGGGAAACUGGGUCUAAUACUGGAUAGGACCAUGCUGUAGGUGGUGUGGUGGAAAGAUUAGUUUCGGUAAGGGACGAGCUCGCGGCCUAUCAGCUUGUUGGUGGGGUAAUGGCCUACCAAGGCGUCGACGGGUAGCCGGCCUGAGAGGGUGGACGGCCACAUUGGGACUGAGAUACGGCCCAGACUCCUACGGGAGGCAGCAGUGGGGAAUAUUGCACAAUGGGCGCAAGCCUGAUGCAGCGACGCCGCGUGGGGGAUGACGGCCUUCGGGUUGUAAACUCCUUUCAGCCAUGACGAAGCCCUUGUGGUGACGGUAGUGGUAGAAGAAGCACCGGCUAACUACGUG
RNAcentral lists this ribosomal RNA (469 nucleotides) under uncultured bacterium. Its description in RNAcentral is "partial 16S ribosomal RNA". It matches the Rfam family "Bacterial small subunit ribosomal RNA", at positions 28 to 507 of the family's 1533-position model. The record is from RNAcentral.